Daphnia carinata is the source of this 447-nucleotide long non-coding RNA. RefSeq lists it as uncharacterized. The transcript has 4 exons. Lineage: Eukaryota; Metazoa; Arthropoda; Branchiopoda; Diplostraca; Daphniidae. The record is from RefSeq and is a predicted model, not a curated record.
GUCAACCAGAUCAAAUAGAUUUCUUCUUUAACGAGAUCAGCUAUGCCAGCUGUCAAACACAAAGCCUGGCAGCAUAUUCUGGCUUUUGCGUUCAAUCAUGUGAUAAGAUUACUCAUUUAAAGCACUUUAUCCAUUCAUCAACUAUCAGUUCGGAUCUGGCAAAGGUGGUUUAUACCUCUGUGUCGUGUGGCCAACAAAAAUUACCACCGUUUCAGCAGUCUUCCUGCCAUUCCUACCUAACCAACCAACACACAUAGACAUAGACCCCAAAACCAUUUUCUUGUGGACUGCCAAGUCUUUACUUUCUUCAUCGUAAUUCCUGGCCCCACUAUCUUUUUAGUCUUCGAGUAACAGCUAGCUAGGGCAUUUUCCUUUUCUAUCCCAUGUAAAAAGACCUUCAAGAUUUCGAUCUCUGUGUAUUAACUCUCUCAAGCCAUCUAAAAGUAA